UGAACGCUAGCGACAGGCUUAACACAUGCAAGUCGAGGGGUAACAGGGUAGCAAUACCGCUGACGACCGGCGCACGGGUGAGUAACGCGUAUGACAACCUGCCUAUAACUGGGGAAUAGCUCCCUGAAAGGGGAAUUAACACCGCAUAACACUAUUGAUUCGCAUGGAUUGGUAGUUAAAUGUAGCGAUACAGGUUAUAGAUGGGCAUGCGUGACAUUAGCUAGUUGGUGAGGUAACGGCUCACCAAGGCUACGAUGUCUAGGGGUUCUGAGAGGAAGGUCCCCCACACUGGUACUGAGACACGGACCAGACUCCUACGGGAGGCAGCAGUGAGGAAUAUUGGUCAAUGGGCGCAAGCCUGAACCAGCCAUGUCGCGUGCAGGAAGACUGCCCUAUGGGUUGUAAACUGCUUUUAUAGUAGAAGAAACACAUCUACGUGUAGAUGUCUGCCAGUAUACUAUGAAUAAGCAUCGGCUAACUCCGUG
RNAcentral lists this ribosomal RNA (485 nucleotides) under uncultured bacterium. RNAcentral's name for it is "bacterial SSU rRNA". It matches the Rfam family "Bacterial small subunit ribosomal RNA", at positions 30 to 507 of the family's 1533-position model. The record is from RNAcentral.